This is a long non-coding RNA of Oncorhynchus tshawytscha (Chinook salmon), 358 nucleotides long. The record is from Ensembl. Lineage: Eukaryota; Metazoa; Chordata; Actinopteri; Salmoniformes; Salmonidae.
UACAGGUUACAUACAGGUUACAUACAUACAGGUUACAUACAUACAGGUUACAUACAUACAGGUUACAUACAUACAGGUUACAUACAUACAUGUUACAUACAUACAGGUUACAUACAGGUUACAUACAUGUUACAUACAUACAUGUUACAUACAUACAGGUUACAUACAUACAGGUUACAUACAUACAGGUUACAUACAGGUUACAUACAUACAGGUUACAUACAGGUUACAUACAGGUUACAUACAUACCGGUUACAUACAGGUUACAUGCAUACAGGUUACAUACAUACAGGUUACAUACAUACAGGUUACAUACAGGUUACAUACAUACAGGUUACAUACAGGUUACAUACAUACA